Molecule: ribosomal RNA, 442 nt
Filed under: uncultured bacterium
Lineage: Bacteria
Description: partial 16S ribosomal RNA
Rfam family: Bacterial small subunit ribosomal RNA
Source: RNAcentral
CCUACGGGUGGCAGCAGUAGGGAAUCUUUCACAAUGGGCGAAAGCCUGAUGGAGCAACGCCGCGUGCAGGAUGAAGGCCUUCGGGUUGUAAACUGCUUUUAUAAGCGAGAAAUAUGAUGGUAACUUAUGAAUAAGGAUCGGCUAACUACGUGCCAGCAGCCGCGGUCAUACGUAGGAUCCGAGCAUUAUCCGGAGUGACUGGGUGUAAAGAGUUGCGUAGGUGGCAUAAUAAGUAGCUAGUGAAAUCUGGUGGCUCAACCAUUCAUACUAUUAGCUAAACUGUUAAGCUCGAGACCGUUAGGGGUAACUGGAAUUUCUAGUGUAGGAGGGAAAUCCGUAGAUAUUAGAAGGAACAACAAGAGCGUAGGGAGGUUGCUGGGACGGUUCUGACACGAAGGCACGAAAGCGUAGGGAGCAAACGGGAUUAGAUACCCGAGUAGUC